GGAGUUUGGACCGUCUCUCAGUUCCAAUGUGGCCGAUCACCCUCUCAGGUCGGCUACCGAUCGUCGACUUGGUGGGCCGUUACCUCACCAACUAUCUAAUCGGACGCGAACUCACCCCAAACCCGGUUGCCCGUUUUACCCCUGAACCAUGCGAUUCCGUGGUCUUAUGCGGUAUUAGCACCUGUUUCCAAGUGUUAUCCCCCCUGUCUGGGACAGAUUGUUCACGCGUUACUCACCCGUCCGCCACUAGAAUACAUCAAAAUCCUGCCGAAGCUCUCAUUUAAUAUAUCCCCGUUCGACUUGCAUGUGUUAAGCACGCCGCCAGCGUUCGUCCUGAGCCACUGAUCAAACUACU
Molecule: ribosomal RNA, 355 nt
Filed under: uncultured Coriobacteriales bacterium
Lineage: Bacteria; Bacillati; Actinomycetota; Coriobacteriia; Coriobacteriales
Description: partial 16S ribosomal RNA
Source: RNAcentral